RNAcentral lists this transfer RNA (68 nucleotides) under Melanitis leda. RNAcentral's name for it is "tRNA-Met". The record is from RNAcentral. Lineage: Eukaryota; Metazoa; Arthropoda; Insecta; Lepidoptera; Nymphalidae.
UUAAAAAUUAGAUAAAUAAAGCUUUUGGGCUCAUACCUCAAUUAUAAAGGAAACUCCUUUUUUUUAAA